UCAAAUCUCGUAUACAUAUUCUUUUCUCUCCACGUAGAUUCUCACGGGAAUCAGCAUACACCAAAUCAAAACUCCUUAAUUUCGCACCCCACAGCAAUAAUUGAAUCAGUUUCAUCAAUCACCGUUUCAAUUGCGUGAUUUUGUCAAUCUUCCUCCCCAAUCCAUGUCUAUCAAUAGCACAAUUUUGGGAGUGAUUCAAUAAUAUCUUUCCCGACUCCAGGCGGCGCGACUCCAUUGCGGGCACGGCUUUAGGCGGCGACUCUCCUCCUCCGUCCUAUCUCCUUCCCUAUUGUCUGAACUAACCGGCAAGGCGGCGACGCUAGGGCAGAAGAGAAACGACGGCAUAGUCAUUGUGGGUGCCGGAAUCGCUGGCCCCGCCCUCGCUUACACUCAGAAAGGCCAGGACUCCAACCUCCCGAGGGAUGGUAUUAACGCUUUAGUGUUGUACCUAUAGUUCUCCUAAGGAGUAGGCCAAAGGAAACUUAAGAACACUGGACAGCCAAAUCAAGAGGAAGUUUGUUUUCUUUCUUAACGGUAAAUCUCCUUUAGCAACUGUCUAUUUAACUCAAGACAGAAGACGUGGAAGUGGAACUAAGAAUGUCACUUUCCCUUGGCUUCGACCAUGUCUCCCGAUCCCUGUCAGUACAUAUGGGUGAAGCGAAUGGAAGAUGAGCUAUAGUUAUUAUUUUUCACGAGAAAAAUGAUAUAAGGGUAUGCUGGUACUGCCAACAACAGCCUGAGAAAUCUGUAUGUUAUGUUUGUCAAACUUCAGAAAAUCUUUGGAUGUGUUUUAUUUGUGGUUUUGUUGCCUACGGGGAGGGGAUUGCUUUUCCAGUGUUUGAUAAACUAGAAGCAGAGUUGGCUGAAGGUUGGUGAGUUCAACACUCAGUUUGAGAAAUGGCAGCUGCUUCUGAACUCCAUUGUCGGUACGAUCAAAACCAAAUCAACUGUAAAUUUUUUUUAAUGGAAUGUCUUUUUUUCCCUAUUUUGGGGAAAAAUAUUACAAUCUUCUUUAUAAUACGAAAAUGGGGUUCGCCCACGUGGCAGCCCUCAAAAUUCACUGAUAGUCUCAUUCUCAAUUCUCCUUUAUUCUCCCAAUUUUCCAUUCUCAUUCCCUCAGAUGCUUUCGGAUUUCAAUAAUUAGCACACUGUCAGCCCCAAUUAGAAGCCUACAAUCAGCCAACUCCCAUUCUCAAUAGUCAAUACCUGUUACAGAAGAACUUCCAUUCUCAUUCCCAUUAGAAGCCUAUAAUCAGCCAACUUCUAUUCUCAUUACAUGUUAAAGAAUAUGUUGAUCCCUAAUCAGUUUCAGAUUCCAAUCACCAAUUAGUAAUGAUUUCAUCGUUGUCUCAGCAUUUAAUUCUCAUUCACCGUCAUCUUCGGCUUAUCAAUAUUCAAUUUUUGAGGUAUGUUCUCUAAGAUUUACUCGCAUUUUAUUUAUUACUGUUAAUUUUUUGGUGAAAGAACAUUGAACUAAACAUGUGGUUGAAACUGUUCUUGCUGAAUUAUUGAUUGUGUUGCUAAAGUGUUGGUUAUAUUUCAUUGUGUGAGAUUGCCGGCGAGGGAUGUUUUUUAUUCAAAUAUGCUAUUGUGUAUCAACUAUUCAAUCAAAUGCCUAAGUAAUAUUGUGUAUUGAUUUUUCUUCGAAUUUCAAGUGUUGUGAAUGUGAAAAUGUGGAGUUUUUGUGGAGACAA
Molecule: long non-coding RNA, 1694 nt
Organism: Salvia miltiorrhiza (redroot sage)
Lineage: Eukaryota; Viridiplantae; Streptophyta; Magnoliopsida; Lamiales; Lamiaceae
Exons: 4
Source: RefSeq, a predicted model, not a curated record